This is an RNA transcript of Nicotiana tabacum (common tobacco), 2443 nucleotides long. It is a transcript of the gene named TGACG-sequence-specific DNA-binding protein TGA-1A, with no coding region annotated. Lineage: Eukaryota; Viridiplantae; Streptophyta; Magnoliopsida; Solanales; Solanaceae. The record is from RefSeq and is a predicted model, not a curated record.
CCCCUCCCCCCAACCCCUUAUGUAGCUUAUUAUAUAUUAUAUAUGUAUAUAAUACAAGUUCGUAUAUGAAUAUAAUGUAUGUAUAUAAGUUGAUGUUGCACAGAACUGUAAAUAGUUUUAGGAUUUUUGUUUCAUUGGAUUUGAUUCUAAUGGAAUUUUGAUAAGACUUUGGCUUUUUACAUAUUCUAUUCUUCUUCUUCUUCUUGAAAAAGCUAUUUGGAGGAGAUUGGAUUUUCAGUUUGUGAUAUUUGGAGAGCUGAGAAAUUGAGCGGGAAAAGUUCUUCAAGAUUUUGCUAUUGGCUUUAAAGCAAAUUGUCAUUGAUUAAAACAUUAGGACUGCUUUCAUUGAUGACCAGUCAAUUUUCUUGUCUUAUGGACAAUCAGUGUUGUCAAAGGCGAAAAGCGCAAAAAAUCUCUAAGGUCUGUUGGAGCUUUAAGCGCAAAUGAAGCGUGGACUUUAUUGAAGACGGGCACAAAUCGAGAAAAAUUACAAAUAUGUAUGUGUAGUCCAAGACUAAUAUCUAUAAGCAUGAAUACCAAAUAUAUGGACAAAGAAAUUGAAGAAAAUUUAUGAUAAGGUGAAAUAUCUAUUGUUUAGUGUAGCCUCUUCAGGAUUAAGCUCAUUGGCAAGAAAAAGUAUGUCUUAGAGCAUUGAUGACAAUACUGAAGUGCCCGAUAAGCGAGACGAAACGCUUAACAUGUUUUGAGCCUCGAUUCAGGAGCGCGCCUUUGAUACCACUGUGAACAAUCCAUUUUCUGUAUGGAAGUUUUUCAUGUCAACAAUAGCUGACUUGUGUCGUUUAAACCUCAGUCCAUACAAUGAAUUCUUCAACGUACACCCAAUUUGCUGCCUCAAGAAGGAUGGGUAUAUGCGAUCCGAUCCAUCAACUUGGCAUGUGGGAUGAUUUCAAUAGUAGUUUCCCAAGUACAUCGGCAACCAUGAUUUUAGAAGUUGAUAAAUGCCUAGAGGACCAGAUACCAAUUAUGGAGAAAAGACUAGACAACGAGACAGAAGACACUUCGCAUGGAACAGUAGGGACUUCUAACAGAUAUGAACCGGAAACAAGUAAACCCGUCGAGAAGGUACUUAGACGUCUUGCACAAAACCGCGAGGCUGCUCGUAAAAGCCGUUUGCGGAAGAAGGCCUAUGUUCAGCAGUUAGAAAAUAGUAAAUUGAAGCUGAUUCAACUGGAACAAGAACUAGAACGCGCCAGAAAACAGGGCAUGUGUGUAGGUGGUGGUGUAGAUGCUAGCCAGCUAAGUUACUCUGGAACCGCUAGCUCAGGAACUGCUGUAUUUGAUAUGGAGUAUGGUCACUGGGUAGAAGAGCAAACUAGACAAACAAAUGACUUAAGGAUUGCUUUGCAUUCUCAAAUUGGUGAAGCGGAAUUGCGCAUUAUUGUUGAUGGUUACCUGAACCACUACUUUGAUCUCUUCCGCAUGAAAGCUACGGCUGCUAAAGCUGAUGUCCUAUACAUCAUGUCUGGUAUGUGGAAGACAUCUGCCGAGCGCUUUUUCAUGUGGAUUGGAGGGUUUCGGCCAUCCGAGCUUCUAAAGGUUCUCACACCGCAUCUUGAGCUCUUGACAGAACAACAACUUCGAGAGGUUUGUAACCUGACCCAAUCAUGUCAGCAAGCAGAAGACGCCUUGUCACAAGGAAUGGUAAAACUCCACCAGAUUCUUGCCGAGGCUGUUGCAGCUGGCCGACUAGGAGAAGGAAAUUACACUCUUCCGCAGAUGGGGCCUGCCAUCGAAAAGUUGGAAGAUCUUGUUAGGUUCGUAAAUCAGGCGGAUCAUCUACGACAAGAAACCCUCCAACAGAUGUCCCGCAUCCUUAAUACGUGCCAAGCAGCUCAGGGCUUACUUGCCUUAGGGGAGUACUUUGAACGACUUCGUGUUUUAAGCUCACAAUGGGCUACUCGUCUACGUGAGCCUACCUAAUGAAGCACAAGAAGAUCCGCUGUAUAUUACUCGAGGAGUUUUGCCUUCAGAAGAUGAUGCUGUGUUAUGGACCAGAGUACUGUUGCUCACUUGGUAUCUAAACCUAUAUAAUCAGUGGCGGAGCCACACAGGUUCAAGGGCAGAUGCAAAUUCAGGAUUCCAAUGUUAUUCGAAUCUAUUAUUUGUACUUAUUUACUGGAUUUUAAACACAUAUAUGUGAUCUGAGCCAAAAACUACUAGGUUUGGAUGAACCCAUAAGUUAUACACUAGAUCGGCUCCUGCUCAAGGGUGUUCAGUUGAGCAUCCUUCGUCGGAAAAUUAUAGUGUGUUAUAUAAGUCAGAUAUUAUGUGUUGAAUCUUGAGCACACUUAGUGUAAUUCUAGGCUUCGCCAUUGAGCUAUAUUCAUUCACUUCAGGUUUGUGGUGAAUGAAUUUUACCAUCUUGCUACUUCUGGUAGGGUCUUGAGAACUUAAAUGAGAUUUUUACACAAAUAGCCAGAUA